Tripterygium wilfordii is the source of this 220-nucleotide long non-coding RNA. RefSeq lists it as uncharacterized. The transcript has 3 exons. NCBI's taxonomy places the organism in Eukaryota, Viridiplantae, Streptophyta, Magnoliopsida, Celastrales, Celastraceae. The record is from RefSeq and is a predicted model, not a curated record.
GGAAGGAGUUUGAAUUGAAGCUUUUGGACUUUCUAAAGCUUGGUUUUCAAGAUUUCUUCAAUAUUGAGAUUUGAGCUUGGAUUGAAGUGUGGAGAUAGGAGGAGAAGGGAUUGAGCAAGGGUUUGAAGAAUUGACUAAGGUUAUUUGAACUUGGAGAAGUGGUUGCUAGAGUUGUGGUGAGGUUGUUGCUCAAACGAGGUAGAGAUUUUCUUAACCCUUA